UACGUAGGGUGCGAGCGUUGUCCGGAAUUACUGGGCGUAAAGAGCUCGUAGGUGGUUUGUCGCGUUGUCCGUGAAAACUCACAACUCAAUUGUGGGCGUGCGGGCGAUACGGGCAGACUGGAGUACUGCAGGGGAGACUGGAAUUCCCGGUGUAGCGGUGGAAUGCGCAGAUAUCAGGAGGAACACCAGUGGCGAAGGCGGGUCUCUGGGCAGUAACUGACGCUGAGGAGCGAAAGCGUGGGGAGCGAACAGG
This 253-nucleotide ribosomal RNA is filed under the name uncultured bacterium. RNAcentral describes it as "partial 16S ribosomal RNA". It matches the Rfam family "Bacterial small subunit ribosomal RNA", at positions 524 to 776 of the family's 1533-position model. The record is from RNAcentral.